Molecule: unclassified non-coding RNA, 1333 nt
Filed under: Hevea brasiliensis (rubber tree)
Lineage: Eukaryota; Viridiplantae; Streptophyta; Magnoliopsida; Malpighiales; Euphorbiaceae
Source: RNAcentral
GCAGUAACAUCCACUGAAGGAUUGGAUGCAAACGGAUCUGUAAGUGGCACCAUUCCUGCACGAAGGAAAAGAAAACCAUGGUUGGAAUCAGAGGACAUGGAGCUGAUUGCUGCUGUGCAGAAAUAUGGUGAAGGGAAUUGGGCAAAUAUCUUACGGAGUGAAUUCAAGUGGGAUAGAACAGCUUCACAGCUAUCUCAGAGGUGGGCCAUCAUCCGUAAAAGGCGACUUGGCAACUGGAAUCUGGGAGGUAACACAAGUGGUGUGCAAAUAACUGAGGCACAGCGCGCAGCACUUCAUGCAAUGAAUUUAGCCCUUGAUNUAAGAAUACAUUUACAAAUAACUCUGGUGAAACUUCAUCUUCCCAACUCCAGUCUCAACGCCCCUUUGCAACGAAAUCAUCUUCUGUGGGACCACUGGGUUCUGCUGCUAAUUCUCAAGUCGCUGUGAACAAAACAGUGAAGCCUGAUUUUAGUUCAAAUACAGUAAGAGCUGCUGCAGUUGCUGCUGGGGCCCGUAUUACUACUCAAUCAGAUGCUGCUUCAUUGCACAAGGCUACUCAGGCAAAGAGUGCUGUUCAUAUUAUGCCAGCAGCUGGUUCUUCAAUAUCAUCCAUGGCUGGUGGUGCAUCCAGCCACUUUGAGGCUCACCCUAAUGUUCAUUUUGAUGACCUGGCAGCUGUAUCAUUUCCCACCCAUCCAGCUGUCUCAUCCAAUGGCCAACACCUUGCUUUGGAGGCAGCUUCCUCACCAACCACUCAGCCUACUCCAAUUUCUAGUACGGCCAUGAACAUGUCAUCUGAACAGGCUCAUGCUGAACUUCAGUCAAAGCAAGAUGUGACAAAAGAGCAAGUCAAAGAACAUGGAGGCCUUGUCUGUGGAAAUGCUCCACGUGAGCAAGUUCAAGAAAGAAAAGCAGCCUUGCCAAACCAAGAAGCAGAAUUUAAAACUCAAGUAGCUGUAGCCCAGAGUUCUAAUGCUUCACGGAAAGUGGAAAUGGGUGAAAGUGACAUGGUGGAUGUCCCUGGCAACCAGGCUGAAGGGAGUCAAAAUUCAAAUGGUGAUAAGAGCACGUAUCUAGCGGUUGGAAAGGAUGAAUAUCAAUCUGCAGUUCAGGAGAAUUGUGGCAAUCAAAGCACGAGUGGCAAACAAGCUGAUCUGCGAAGCAUGGCAACUGAUGAAUGCAGCAAAAAAGUUGAAGCUGUAAGCAAAGCAGAACCUUGCAAUGUGAUUACAGAGGGAGGUCUUGUAUAAAGCAGCCGGGAAUUUCUUUCUUUUUUCCUUUUCAGGGCAAUCUUCCAUUUGCAUUUUAAUUGACUUCAGAAAUUAGUUAGGGC